Molecule: transfer RNA, 90 nt
Filed under: Oscillospiraceae bacterium
Lineage: Bacteria; Bacillati; Bacillota; Clostridia; Eubacteriales; Oscillospiraceae
Description: tRNA-Ser
Rfam family: tRNA
About the family: Transfer RNA (tRNA) molecules are approximately 80 nucleotides in length. Their secondary structure includes four short double-helical elements and three loops (D, anti-codon, and T loops).
Source: RNAcentral
GGAGAGGUCGCCUAGUCCGGCCGAGGGCGCGUGAUUGGAAAUCACGUAAACCGCAAGGUUUCGGGGGUUCAAAUCCCCCCCUCUCCGCCA